This 687-nucleotide ribosomal RNA is filed under the name Stutzerimonas stutzeri. RNAcentral's name for it is "bacterial SSU rRNA". It matches the Rfam family "Bacterial small subunit ribosomal RNA", at positions 30 to 712 of the family's 1533-position model. The record is from RNAcentral. Lineage: Bacteria; Pseudomonadati; Pseudomonadota; Gammaproteobacteria; Pseudomonadales; Pseudomonadaceae.
UGAACGCUGGCGGCAGGCCUAACACAUGCAAGUCGAGCGGAUGAGUGGAGCUUGCUCCAUGAUUCAGCGGCGGACGGGUGAGUAAUGCCUAGGAAUCUGCCUGGUAGUGGGGGACAACGUUUCGAAAGGAACGCUAAUACCGCAUACGUCCUACGGGAGAAAGUGGGGGAUCUUCGGACCUCACGCUAUCAGAUGAGCCUAGGUCGGAUUAGCUAGUUGGUGAGGUAAAGGCUCACCAAGGCGACGAUCCGUAACUGGUCUGAGAGGAUGAUCAGUCACACUGGAACUGAGACACGGUCCAGACUCCUACGGGAGGCAGCAGUGGGGAAUAUUGGACAAUGGGCGAAAGCCUGAUCCAGCCAUGCCGCGUGUGUGAAGAAGGUCUUCGGAUUGUAAAGCACUUUAAGUUGGGAGGAAGGGCAGUAAGUUAAUACCUUGCUGUUUUGACGUUACCAACAGAAUAAGCACCGGCUAACUUCGUGCCAGCAGCCGCGGUAAUACGAAGGGUGCAAGCGUUAAUCGGAAUUACUGGGCGUAAAGCGCGCGUAGGUGGUUCGUUAAGUUGGAUGUGAAAGCCCCGGGCUCAACCUGGGAACUGCAUCCAAAACUGGCGAGCUAGAGUAUGGCAGAGGGUGGUGGAAUUUCCUGUGUAGCGGUGAAAUGCGUAGAUAUAGGAAGGAACACCAG